AGCAGCCGCGGUAAUUCCAGCUCCAAUAGCGUAUAUUAAAGUUGUUGCAGUUAAAAAGCUCGUAGUUGAAUUUCGGGAUUGGCGCAUCGGUCGUGCCUCACGGGGUAUGAACUGGUGCAGUCAAUUUCUCACCUUCUGGAGAACCGCGAUGUCCUUAAUUGGAUGCCGCGGGGAACCAGGACCUUUACUUUGAAAAAAUUAGAGUGUUUAAAGCAGGCAUUUUUGCUUGAAUACAUUAGCAUGGAAUAAUAAAAUAGGACGGCAUGGUUCUAUUUUGUUGGUUUCUAGGACCACCGUAAUGAUUAAUAGGGAUAGUUGGGGGCAUUAGUAUUCAAUUGUCAGAGGUGAAAUUCUUGGAUUUAUUGAAGACUAACUACUGCGAAAGCAUUUGCCAAGGAUGUUUUCAUUAAUCAAGAACGAAAGUUAGGGGAUCGAAGACGAUCAGAUACCGUCGUAGUCUUAACCAUAAACUAUGCCGACUAGGAAUCAGACGAUGUUAAUUUUUAAUGACUCGUUUG
RNAcentral lists this ribosomal RNA (518 nucleotides) under uncultured Entrophospora. RNAcentral's name for it is "SSU rRNA". It matches the Rfam family "Eukaryotic small subunit ribosomal RNA", at positions 569 to 1082 of the family's 1831-position model. Lineage: Eukaryota; Fungi; Glomeromycota; Glomeromycetes; Entrophosporales; Entrophosporaceae. The record is from RNAcentral.